AGCCAGGAACCAUGCGAGCAGACACCGCCCAACUCCGCCAGGUCCGGAAGGAAGCAACGGCAAGCGGCUGCCUGCGGCGCCGUGGCAUCCCUGGUUACG
RNAcentral lists this signal recognition particle RNA (99 nucleotides) under Breznakiella homolactica. Its description in RNAcentral is "Bacterial small signal recognition particle RNA". It matches the Rfam family "Bacterial small signal recognition particle RNA". Rfam says of the family: The signal recognition particle (SRP) is a universally conserved ribonucleoprotein involved in the co-translational targeting of proteins to membranes. Lineage: Bacteria; Pseudomonadati; Spirochaetota; Spirochaetia; Treponematales; Breznakiellaceae. The record is from Rfam by way of RNAcentral.